Molecule: unclassified non-coding RNA, 287 nt
Filed under: Hevea brasiliensis (rubber tree)
Lineage: Eukaryota; Viridiplantae; Streptophyta; Magnoliopsida; Malpighiales; Euphorbiaceae
Source: RNAcentral
AUAAAAAGCUUGCCUCAUCCAUAAAGUAUCCAUAAGAUGAGUUGUGGAAGUCCUUUUUUAGGGUAAUUUCCAAUUCAAAGUGGAACAAUAAAGGUCGUUGAACCUCAAAUGGACACUGCUAAAAGUAGGCAAGUUAGGGAUAAAGCAGUGUAAGUCUCAAAUGACUAGGGGCAGAAGUACUCCAAUUAUGUAGAAAUCCUGAAAUCAACCACUAUUUCCCCAAUCACAAAGUUCUGCCUAUUGUAACAAAGAGAACUUCAGCUAAUGAACAGACUAAUAAAGAUAAG